UACCAAGACAGUCGCAGGUGUUUCCUUUGCCUUGUCUGAAAUUCCUGGCCAAUUGCCACCAGAUUGUUCGUAAAAAAAGUGAUUUGUUUUACUUCAAGUUCAACGUACGUCAAGAGUACCGUCACGUCAGCAUCAUUGCUGUCUGGCUGUGCAUGGAGCUGUCAAGGGUAUCACUUGCACCUAACUUGACUACAAGACAAGAUGACCCAAGGAAUGUCAUCAGGUAGUGGCAGGAUGCGUCACCCACCAGUAUUUGUAUGGUGCCAGGAAGAGAUUGAAAGAUGACGUUGACUGAGAGACGACCAUCAAAUCAUCCAGAGUGGAGGAUGUGACUGCUGAGGUGUUGCCAAGCAAGAGAUCCAGUUUACAUACAGUGUAUGAAUCCAGUGGCUGAAUACAGCUGAACCAAUCAGCCUGCCAGCCGACCAACCCGUCAA
RNAcentral lists this long non-coding RNA (437 nucleotides) under Acanthaster planci (crown-of-thorns starfish). RNAcentral's name for it is "uncharacterized LOC110990808, transcript variant X2". The record is from RNAcentral. Lineage: Eukaryota; Metazoa; Echinodermata; Asteroidea; Valvatida; Acanthasteridae.